GAAUUAUGUUUCUAGAUGGGUUGUAGCUGGCUCUUUGGAGCAUGUGCACGCCUGUUUGGAUUUCAUUUUCAUCCACCUGUGCACCUAUUGUAGUCUUUGGUUUGGGUAUUGAGGAAGUGGUCAGCCUAUCAGCAUUUGCUGGAUAUGAGGAGUUUGCAGUGUGAAAGCAUUGCUGUCCUUUACUUGGCCAUGGAGUCUUUUGCCUGCCCAGAGUCUAUGUCAUUCAUUAUACCCUGUCGAAUGUUAUCGAAUGUCUUUACAUGGGCUUUCAUGCCUAUGAAAAUUAUAAUACAACUUUCAGCAACGGAUCUCUUGGCUCU
Molecule: unclassified non-coding RNA, 320 nt
Filed under: rhizosphere metagenome
Description: partial ribosomal RNA internal transcribed spacer region
Source: RNAcentral